This 467-nucleotide ribosomal RNA is filed under the name uncultured bacterium. Its description in RNAcentral is "partial 16S ribosomal RNA". It matches the Rfam family "Bacterial small subunit ribosomal RNA", at positions 28 to 507 of the family's 1533-position model. The record is from RNAcentral.
GACGAACGCUGGCGGCGUGCUUAACACAUGCAAGUCGAACGGAAAGGCCCUGCUUUUGUGGGGUGCUCGAGUGGCGAACGGGUGAGUAACACGUGAGUAACCUGCCCUUGACUUUGGGAUAACUUCAGGAAACUGGGGCUAAUACCGGAUAGGAGCUCCUGCUGCAUGGUGGGGGUUGGAAAGUUUCGGCGGUUGGGGAUGGACUCGCGGCUUAUCAGCUUGUUGGUGGGGUAGUGGCCUACCAAGGCUUUGACGGGUAGCCGGCCUGAGAGGGUGACCGGCCACAUUGGGACUGAGAUACGGCCCAGACUCCUACGGGAGGCAGCAGUGGGGAAUAUGGCACAAUGGGCGGAAGCCUGAUGCAGCAACGCCGCGUGCGGGAUGACGCCUUCGGGUUGUAAACCGCUUUCGCCUGUGACGAAGCGUGAGUGACGGUAAUGGGUAAAGAAGCACCAGCUAACUACGUG